This 442-nucleotide ribosomal RNA is filed under the name uncultured bacterium. RNAcentral describes it as "partial 16S ribosomal RNA". It matches the Rfam family "Bacterial small subunit ribosomal RNA", at positions 338 to 795 of the family's 1533-position model. The record is from RNAcentral.
CCUACGGGAGGCAGCAGUGGGGAAUAUUGGGCAAUGGGCGCAAGCCUGACCCAGCAACGCCGCGUGAAGGAAGAAGGCUUUCGGGUUGUAAACUUCUUUUCUCAGGGACGAAGAAAGUGACGGUACCUGAGGAAUAAGCCACAGCUAACUACGUGCCAGCAGCCGCGGUAAUACGUAGGUGGCAAGCGUUAUCCGGGUUUAGUGGGUGUAAAGGGCGUGUAGGCGGGAGCGCAAGUCAGAGGGAAAAACUCAGGGCUCAACCCUGAGCCUGCAUUUGAAACUGUGUUUCUUGGGUGCUGGGGAGGAAAUCGGAAUUCCGUGUGUAGCGGUGAAAUGCGUAGAUAUACGGAGGAACACCAGUGGCAAGGGCGGAUUGUUGGACAGUAACUGACGCUGAGGCGCGAAGGCGUGGGAGCAAACAGGAUUAGAUACCCGAGUAGUC